UGAAGAUAUGGCGGCGUCUGCGUCUGCGGCUGCAGGGGAGGAGGACUGGGUCCUUCCCUCUGAAGUUGAAGUGUUGGAGUCCAUCUAUCUAGAUGAACUACAGGUGAUUAAAGGAAAUGGCAGGUAUGUAUUCAACCAGUGGUGGGCAGGAGUCCCCCUAGUAAUGAGGAGAGGUUCUAUGCUGAAUCUGGGUCUUAAGACAUUGUGAGCCUUGAUUCAGAGAUAAUAUUUCUCUUGUGUAGACAAAAGCUAUUCCUUUAAUCCUACCCCAAAAGAAAGAGUCCAAUGUGUACUUCCUUUGCCCACUUUACUGUCUCAGCCCCAUCCUCCCCAGCCCCCAAGCCCCUACCCAGUCACAUCUGCGUGUCCACUUGAUCCACCUGCAGAACUUCACCAUGGGAAAUCUACAUCACUUUGCAUCCUGCCACUGCAGAGGACCAGGAUUCACAGUAUGUCUGCUUCACUCUGGUGCUUCAGGUCCCAGCAGAGGUGAAGCCCCUACUGUGUGGCAGCAAAGGGAGGAAGGGGAGAGUCCCUGGGGUGGAUCACUUCAGCAGUAACUUGUUAUUUGCCCCCACUAGUAUCCCCAUGAGGUGCCACAGAUCUCUAUCCGAAAUCCCCGAGGACUUUCAGAUGAACAGAUCCACACGAUCUUACAGGUGCUGGGCCAUGUGGCCAAGGCUGGGCUGGGCACUGCCAUGCUGUAUGAACUCAUUGAGAAAGGGAAGGAAAUUCUCACAGAUAACAACAUCCCUCAUGGCCAGUGUGUCAUCUGCCUCUAUGGUUUCCAGGAGAAGGAGGCCUUUACCAAAACACCCUGUUACCACUACUUCCACUGCCACUGCCUUGCUCGGUACAUCCAGCACAUGGAGCAAGAGCUGAAGGCACAAGGACAGGAGCAGGAACAGGAACGGCAGCAUGCUGCAACCAAACAGAAGGCAGUCGGUGUGCAGUGUCCAGUGUGCAGAGAGCCCCUCGUGUAUGAUCUUGCCUCACUGAAAGCAGCCCCUGAACCCCAACAGCCCAUGGAGCUGUACCAGCCCAGUGUGGAGAGCUUGCGCCAGCAAGAAGAACGCAAGCGGCUCUACCAGAGGCAGCAGGAGCGGGGGGGAAUCAUUGACCUUGAGGCUGAGCGAAACCGAUACUUCAUCAGCCUUCAGCAGCCUCCUGCCCCUGCGGAACCUGAGUCAGCUGUAGAUGUCUCCAAAGGAUCCCAACCACCCAGCACCCUUGCAGCAGAACUAUCCACCUCACCAGCCGUCCAAUCCACUUUGCCACCUCCUCUGCCUGUGGCGACCCAGUACAUAUGUGAGAAGAUUCCAGGGGCCAGGUCAAAUCAGCAAAGGUUGGGCGAAACCCAGAAAGCUAUGCUAGAUCCCCCCAAGCCCAGUCGAGGUCCCUGGCGACAGCCCGAACGGAGGCACCCGAAGGGAGGGGAGUGCCACGCCCCUAAAGGUACCCGUGACACCCAGGAACUGCCACCUCCUGAGAGGCCCCUCAAGGAGCCCAUGGACCUAAAGCCAGAACCCCAUAGCCAAGGAGUUGAAGGUCCUCCACAAGAGAAGGGGCCUGGCAGCUGGCAGGGGCCCCCACCCCGCAGGACUCGGGACUGUGUUCGCUGGGAGCGCUCUAAAGGCCGGACACCCGGUUCUUCCUACCCUCACCUGCCUCGGGGCCAGGGAGCAUACCGGCCUGGUACUCGGAGGGAGUCCCUGGGCCUGGAAUCUGAGGAUGGUUCCUAGCAGGACUUGGUGGGGGGAACAGGGAAUUGGGGAUGGGAGGGGGGCAAUAAAGAUAUUUGGCCUUC
This 1807-nucleotide small RNA is filed under the name Pan troglodytes (chimpanzee). Its description in RNAcentral is "retained intron". The record is from RNAcentral. Lineage: Eukaryota; Metazoa; Chordata; Mammalia; Primates; Hominidae.